Molecule: ribosomal RNA, 253 nt
Filed under: uncultured bacterium
Lineage: Bacteria
Description: partial 16S ribosomal RNA
Rfam family: Bacterial small subunit ribosomal RNA
Source: RNAcentral
UACGUAGGGUGCUAGCGUUGUUCGGAAUCAUUGGGCGUAAAGCGCGUGUAGGUGGUCAUCUAAGUCGAGUGUGAAAGCCCUGGGCUCAACCCGGGAAGUGCAUCCGAAACUAGUUGACUAGAAGACAUUAGAGGAAGGUGGAAUUCCAAGUGUAGAGGUGAAAUUCGUAGAUAUUUGGAGGAAUACCGGCGGCGAAGGCGGCCUUCUGGGGUGCUCUUGACACUGAGACGCGAAAGCGUGGUUAGCAAACAGG